AGAACAUGACAAGGUACUUUUCCUGGUGACAGCUAGGGGAACACAGGUCCCUGUCCUCUGGGUUCCAGCCCAGAGACCUUGUAUUAAUCAGCUAAAAUCUGCUUCUUCAGAUUCAUCACUGGUUUCCUAAGCCACUUCCUACCUGCAUCUGCCUCCAAGCCCCUUUUGCAGAGGAACUGCUCCCAGUGCUUUCUUCCUGGAGGUUCCAGCUCCUUUCACUGCUUCCUACCAGUUUGUAGCGAAGGUAGAGUCCUCACAGGCUCCUUGGAAGCCUCCUUCUACCUGAUUUGCAGGCUCACAUCCCAGCUGUUGAUGGUCACCCAGUUAGUCACAGCUGAGGACGCUUUUCUGCCAAGAAACACUGGACACACUUACCCGAAGGACUUCUAAAUGGAUUGGAGGAGAUAAAGCCAUUCAAAAUGUCCCACAAAGCAACUACUUCAAAGACCUGAAACGAUCACUGUCGGAUAGGUACCCACAUUUGACUAGGAUGGUGUAUAUCAAAGUAGGGCGGAACUGCACCCAAACAAGGAUGAUUAAUGCAGAGGCACAACCGCAUUACUAUUUACAGAUGGGCAAGGUCACUGGUUCAAUUAGUGAUGGUCCAAUUCUCCAGUACACACACAUCCCUUACUGAAAGAGCAUCAGGCACUAUAGUUUUGGAUUUCUUUUUUCUUCUGGUAUAUCAGUUUGUAUUUUUCUAAACUAAAUCUCUUUGUUAUUCUUCUGCCAUAUUUCUAAUCUCCCUGAGUCCCUUUGUAUUAUUUCUAUGUUCUGAAUACAAAGUACAAAAGGAUUAUUAUUGCUGUGAAAUACUCAGUGUUUUUCCCCUGAGUCCAUAGUCUGCAUUCAGAAGAGGAGGUACCAAAUGAAUUUUGGAUCCUAAAUUAAAACUAUGUUCUGUAGGAUUCAAGAUGGAGCCAGAUGUUAUCUUUGUGGCCAAACCCUCAGAAAUCAAAUUUCCAUAUGAGUUAUAGAAUCAUUAAUUAUUAGGAGCAGACUACACUCCCUAUAUAACUUGGAAGAGCCAAAAUCUAAUUCAUUUUAAGUUACUGUGAAAAAGAAUUUAGAGAAAGAUACAGGUUACGCAGCUGUAAAGAAGCAGAAGAAGAUGAAAUAUAU
Non-coding RNA from Chelonoidis abingdonii (Abingdon island giant tortoise), 1122 nucleotides. The record is from RefSeq and is a predicted model, not a curated record. NCBI's taxonomy places the organism in Eukaryota, Metazoa, Chordata, Testudines, Testudinidae.